CAGCAGUGAUUGCAGCCCCAUCCCUACCAUCUUGAUUCCAGCUCCAGAGAUUUCAGCCCCACAGCUUUUAUUCCAGCUCCAUUCCCAGCCCUACAGUUUUUAUUUCAGCUCUGGCCCUACAGUAUUUAUUUCAGCUCCAGCCGCAGUCGUCCUUCAGCCCCAGGUCUGUCACAUCUCAGCUCCAGCCCCACAGCAGUGAUUUCAGCCCCAGCCCUGCCAUCUUUAUUCAAGCUCUGAGAUUUCAGCUCUGGCCCUAUGCUCUGUAUUUCAGCUGCAUUCCCAGCCCCACAGCAGUGAUUUGAGCCCCAGCCCAAAAGUUUUUAUUUCGCCUCCAGUUCUACGGCAUUUCAGCCCCACAGCAGUGAUUGCAGCCCCAGCCCUACCAUCUUUAUUCCAGCUCUGAGUGAUUUCAGUUCUGAUCCUACAGAUUUUAUUUCAGCUCCAGGUUCGGUGUUUCAGCUCCAGCCGCAGUCGUUCUUCAGCCCCAGCUCUGUCACAUCUCAGCCGCAGCCCCACAGCAGUGAUUUCAGCUCCAACCCUGCCAUCCUGAUUUCAUCUCCCACCCUACAGUAGCUAUUGAACCCCAGGAUUUCCACUCCAGGCCUGUGCUGUUUCCCCUCCCACCCACCCACUCUUCAUUUCACCCCCCCCAGCCUCACAGACUUUCUUACGGCUCCAGCUCUGCGUUGUUUCAGCUCCAGCCCUGCAGUGUUUAGCUCAGCCUCAGCUCUACAUCUUCCUGCUGCCUCCGUGUUCUCACAGCAGCUCUGGGGGCUGUUGAUAAGGUAGUAAGUCAAUCACUGUCAUCACUCAACUAUCAAAACUGUCCCACUGUGUCUGUGCCCUGAAUAAAGUGUUCCUGUUGUGUGUGUGUCCCCAUUUCAGAGGGGAGUUUGGCCUGGUGCAUGCUGGCAUCCCGUGUUUCAGGGGCAAAUAAAACCAGACCCCCACCUCUGCUUGUUUUCAGGCCCAGAAACACAGCACUCUGGGGACUUUUGGAGCAGCUGAACCCCAGGACUGAGCUGGGCUGUUCAGCCCCAACCACAGAACUUCAUCCUCCUUUGGGGGGCUGGAAACACCCUUGAGGCUGCUGCUGUGGCCCAUGUGUGAAGGGAAAGGGGGGCCACAGCCCAGGGAGUGCUUGGGAACUGCGGGCACCCACCCAGACAGGGAAAGCUUUAUUGCACUUUAUUCCACUUGAUUUUUCAAUUAUUGUUAUGCAUUACACUUCUUGUAAUAAACCAACACAAUAGCUUUAUUAGCAGUACUAGUUACAGUAUUGUUUAAAAGCCAAGCGCGCCCCCCUCCCCCCACCCGCGGCAACAUCCGCGGGGAGCCGGGCCCGGGAACCCCCACGCAGCCCGGCCGCGCCCCGACCCCCCACCCGACCCCCGCUGGGGCUCGGCACCCGCCCCCUGUAGCGGCCGGCGCCCCUCCUCGCUCGGCGCCGCUCCGGCCGCCGCUGCCCGACACAAGCGGGGAAGAGCCAACAGAACGCGACCUGGCUGUCACGCCGGGCACGGACCCAAGCGGCACCCCCGUCCCAGGGCAUCGCCCGCCCGGGCCGCGUCUCCCCGACCACCUCCCGCCCGGCGCCGUCGACCGCAAGGCUCCCGCCCCCGGAACGCACCGCGAACCCGCCCGCACAGUGGCUCGGGCCCGGUCAGACGCAGGGGGCCCACGGCCGGACACUACUGCCCGCCGCCCCAGGACUGAGCUGUUCAGCCCCAAACACAGCACUUAGUCCUCGCUUGGGGGGGGCUGGCUGGAAACACCCCCCGGGGCUGCUGCUCCUCUGGCCCAUGUGUGAGGGGGAAGGCACCCGCCCAGGGCCCCGGGCAGGGAGUGCUUGGGAACUGGGGGGGGGGGGGGGGGGGGGGGGCGGCAGGGGGCACCUCCCGCGGGGAGGAACCGGCCCUGGGGCACUGGGGGCAGCACCCACCCACCCCCCCCCGGGGAAAGCUUUAUUGCACUGGAUUACACUUUAUUAUCGCACCGUUACGGUUACACAGCGUGCUUACAGGACCAUCAUAAACCAGCAAGAGUUCUUUAUUCUCUGUAGUUGCAGCAGUAUUUAAG
This is a long non-coding RNA of Grus americana (Whooping crane), 2079 nucleotides long. RefSeq lists it as uncharacterized. The transcript is spliced from 3 exons. NCBI's taxonomy places the organism in Eukaryota, Metazoa, Chordata, Aves, Gruiformes, Gruidae. The record is from RefSeq and is a predicted model, not a curated record.